CCCUGCCCCAGGCUGCCGCUGUCAGGGCGGAGGAGGCAGGUGGGCCAGGUGGCAGGACACGGCGCAGCCUGGCCAGCCCCCAGCCAGCACAACUCCUACAAGCAGCGGCGUUGGCUGAAAGCCUCCCUGGCGCUGGUGGAGAGCGAGGCGCGGGAAGAAGCCGGGGAGAUGGCCAGAGGUAUCCUCUACUCAUGAGAUGCCUGGAGUACAUGUGGCAGGGAACAUGACAACCACCUCAGGAAGGGCAGAAGGCUGCAGCAGAGCCAAGGGGUUUGAGGGGGAGAGGUGUCAGAUGCAGCUUUCUCCGGAUUUGCAGUGCUCCUACUAUCCAUGAUUCUUCCAUCUCUGGGAGAAAGGAAGCAGCCAGGCUCCAGUGCAGAGAGCACUGGAAACAGAGUCCCAUUGCUAAAGGAAGAGACUGGAUGCCUGACUGAUUUGAGAGCUGAUGCAGGGCUGAACGGCCGACUGGAGACCUGAUGGACAGAUGGAAAGACGGCUGGGAGAAGAUAUCAUAAGACAAUUUUAACUGCUGGUGUCUGUCUCUGCCUGGAUGACCUGGGAAACAAGCUCUCCCUGCAGCACAACGCAUCCAUUUUGGCUAUGGCCAGCACUUGUUUGCUUAUAUUGCACUAAACCCCUCUGUCUUUGGGUACAUCUACAUUGCAGCUGGAGGCAAAAUUUCCAGCUUGAGUAGAUGUACAUGUCCUCGUAGUAUAGGCAGGCCAGCGCAAGCAGGGGGAGGGGUUAGCUGCUUAAGUACAACGCCAUCCAUAGGAACAGACCAUCCCGAG
Molecule: long non-coding RNA, 791 nt
Filed under: Gopherus agassizii (Agassiz's desert tortoise)
Lineage: Eukaryota; Metazoa; Chordata; Testudines; Testudinidae
Description: lncRNA (ENSGAGG00000013548.1)
Source: RNAcentral